RNAcentral lists this ribosomal RNA (492 nucleotides) under uncultured bacterium. Its description in RNAcentral is "partial 16S ribosomal RNA". It matches the Rfam family "Bacterial small subunit ribosomal RNA", at positions 29 to 507 of the family's 1533-position model. The record is from RNAcentral.
AGUGAACGCUGGCGGUAGGCCUAACACAUGCAAGUCGAACGGCAGCACAGUAAGAGCUUGCUCUUACGGGUGGCGAGUGGCGGACGGGUGAGGAAUACAUCGGAAUCUACUUUUUCGUGGGGGAUAACGUAGGGAAACUUACGCUAAUACCGCAUACGACCUACGGGUGAAAGCAGGGGAUCUUCGGACCUUGCGCGAUUGAAUGAGCCGAUGUCGGAUUAGCUAGUUGGCGGGGUAAAGGCCCACCAAGGCGACGAUCCAUAGCUGGUCUGAGAGGAUGAUCAGCCACACUGGAACUGAGACACGGUCCAGACUCCUACGGGAGGCAGCAGUGGGGAAUAUUGGACAAUGGGCGCAAGCCUGAUCCAGCCAUACCGCGUGGGUGAAGAGGGCCUUCGGGUUGUAAAGCCCUUUUGUCGGGAAAGAAAAGCAGCAGGUUAAUACCCCGCUGUUCUGACGGUACCCAAAGAAUAAGCACCGGCUAACUUCGUG